Molecule: small nuclear RNA, 18 nt
Filed under: Arabidopsis thaliana (thale cress)
Lineage: Eukaryota; Viridiplantae; Streptophyta; Magnoliopsida; Brassicales; Brassicaceae
Description: snRNA_02434
Source: RNAcentral
GAGGAUAAAAUUUUUUUU